AAGUCGUAACAAGGUUUCCGUAGGUGAACCUGCGGAAGGAUCAUUAACAAAUAGCGAGAUACCAUGUGUAAUGCGAAACGUUGCUCCCGGUGGGGAGUGGGGCAGCACGAAAAACGUUGUCAGACAAUAGUACGAACGAUUACAGCAACAACUUUUAACAAUGGAUCUCUUGGCUCUU
This 178-nucleotide unclassified non-coding RNA is filed under the name Phylloporus sp. RNAcentral's name for it is "partial contains small subunit ribosomal RNA, internal transcribed spacer 1, and 5.8S ribosomal RNA". The stretch from base 1 to 46 matches the Rfam family "Eukaryotic small subunit ribosomal RNA", at positions 1786 to 1831 of the family's 1831-position model. Lineage: Eukaryota; Fungi; Basidiomycota; Agaricomycetes; Boletales; Boletaceae. The record is from RNAcentral.